GUUUGAUCAUGGCUCAGAUUGAACGCUGGCGGCAGGCCUAACACAUGCAAGUCGGACGGUAGCACAGAGAGCUUGCUUUGGGUGACGAGUGGCGGACGGGUGAGCUAUCUGUCUGGGGAUCUGCCCGAUAGAGGGGGAUAACCACUGGAAACGGUGGCUAAUACCGCAUAACGUCGCAAGACCACAAGAGGGGGACCUUCGGGCUCUCACUAUCGGAUGAACCCAGAUGGGAUUAGCUAGUAGGCGGGGUAAUGGCCCACCUAGGCGACCGAUCCCUAGCUGGUCUGAGAGGAUGACCAGCCACACUGGAACUGAGACACGGUCCAGACUCCUACGGGGAGGCAGCAGUGGGGAAGUAUUGCACAAUGGGCGCACUUGAUGCAGCCAUGCCGCGUUGUUAUUGUAAAGAAAGGCCUUUCGGGGUUGGUAAA
Molecule: ribosomal RNA, 431 nt
Filed under: uncultured bacterium
Lineage: Bacteria
Description: bacterial SSU rRNA
Rfam family: Bacterial small subunit ribosomal RNA
Source: RNAcentral